UUGAGAAAAUGCCUUAGCAGCUGAAUCUCAUGGAGGUAUUUCCUCAGUUGAGGCUCCUUCCUCUGAUGACUCUAGCUUGUGUCAAGUUGACACACAACCAGCCAGUUCACAAUCUCACUGGUGUGGGUCAGUGCUUCUUCCAGAAUAAUUCCUUCAGUAUUUCUGGAGCACCCCUUUUCCCGCUCAACACGAUUCCCCCUCACCAAAACUCCAGUGAGUCUGGAGAGACUGAUGCUCCUGGGCCUCUCAGCCCACUGGGGGUUCCUGGAACCCAGGAAGCCUGCGCUCUUCCUGGAAUUCUGGGGUUCCCUUCCAGUGGCCAAGGGGACUGUGAGACUCAGGACUGGAGUCUCCAAGUAGAAGAAGAUGAGAUUUGGCUAGACAUCCAGACUAGGUAAGGACCCCUGGGGAAGAGUUGGUGAGCCCGAUUCCCAGGGAAGUGAUUGCAUUUGAAGCCUCAGUGAGACAUGGAGGUGACACUGCUCUCCAAGGAAAAGCCUCCAAGGGACACUGAGGCACUGGUACUGGUCUCCAGAGAAAUAGACUAGGAAUUUAAAAUGCAAAUGUAUAACUUCUGAAUGAGUGGUGAAUGAGUGUGUGAAUGCGUGCAAUGGUCCCAUGGUUCUGGGGAUACAGGAUCUGAUAGGGCCCAACCCUCUGAGGGCUUUUCACCUGAAUGAGCAUUCAGCUUCCAUAUCAGGAGGUGACAGAGCAUGCAUGGGGUUAUGUUGGUGGCCCUAAGGUAAGACAUCCUAGAUGUUUGUGAGGCUGCCAGCUAGCCAGGCCAUCUGCUUGAGGAAGAAGUGGUCUUCUCCACUCUACCCUACCACACCUCAUGGCGUGAGGCACAUAUAAACUCUCCCAUCUCCUGACUAGGGAACUCUUCUCCUCAUGGGGUCUGCACAGUCUUGAUGUGAGUCCCCACUUGGUCUGGUCAAGACUGUUAAGCCUGAAGACAACAAAGACGUAUACCCAUUAGUGUCCCAGAGAAUAAAAUUUUGCCCAUGAUUUAGCCUUCUACAGGAUCCAAUUGCCAGCACCACACUGUAUGCCCAGGCAGUCACAGGACCACAUGAUGCUGUCAUUUCAAAGGCAUCUGUGCUGUGCAGUGCUCACCAGCUUCCACAGGUAGCCAGCUCACCAGACUCUUUGACUACAUUCCAGGAAUGAGGCCUUUCCAGUGUGUCCACUAAGGGAAAUGCCAGGGCCUCCCCUCAUCCAAGAAGAUAACAGAUAUGUUAUUCAGCCACAUACAUGCCUGAAGAGGAGGGAAAACCCAUUCAUAGUUGUGGAUAAAUUAUAAAAGAGAUUUUUUACUCAUGGGCAGGCGGUCUUAAGUGACAAGACCCAGUAUAGGAACGCAACCGUUCACUGGUGGGAACAGAAGCCUACAACAUGGGGAAUCGCUCCUCAUGUCAAGAGACUCAAAACAAAAAUAUGUCGAGAAAGAGAGUGCUUACCUUAGAGGACAAAGACAUUAAAGUAGAAGCCAAAUCCUCCAGCUGUCGGGGCUGCCGGCUGUGGUCACGGUACACUGCCAGACUCGCCCAAAGAGUCAAGGUCAAGUGAGUUGGGAAAACCAACUGGCAGACCAGACAGCCAAAUGGGGUGCCCUCUGUGAAGACACAGACCUGCAGUUCCCUCCAUUAUCCUCCAGAAGGUAUGUUUACACUCAGGUGCUCCCAGAUCUCUCCUCAGAUAAGUCAGGGCACAGAGAGAGACAGAGAAAGGGGCUUCAGAAAAUCAGGAGGACUGUCUGAUUACUACAUAUAGGAAAAUAAUAAAUCUAGAGAUGACAGUUCCCAGUCUAGUCCAACAAGCUCACAAAGCAACCCAUCUAGAAAAACUGCCCUGUAAGAAUCGCUGCAAAGAUAUUUCGGCAGUUCUGAGGUGCCGACACUGACCCAACAAACCAGCACAGCAUGUCUACAAUGUGCUCGGAACAAUCCCAGGGAGGGACCCGAGGUUCCCACACUGGCACAAAAAGAAGGGUCCUACCCAUCCGAACAUCUAGAAGUGGACUUUCCUGACCUUCAACCCAGCAAAGGGUACCACUAUGUGCUGUUUAUGGUGUGAACUCUUCAGUGUGGGCGGAAGCUUCUCCUACCUGCACAGAAGAUUAGCGUGAACGAUGCACACAGGGUACCACCCCCCAUCAUCAGGCUGAGUUGUGAGAGUGAACAGAACCUUUAUAACAACACUGGCCAAGCACUGCCAAGUAACAGCCUCCCUUGGCCAGAAAGUCUGCCUCUUGUGCUGUCUAGGGUGCACUGCACACACUGUAAAUGCAGUGACUCUCCUUUUAUGGGCUGCCCACCUCCUCUGCCCUCAAAGGACUCAGGACUUCCAAGAGUACGGACAUGCCUGCCUCCAGCAGUUCUCGGAAGACUUGGCUGACACUGCACAUAAAAAAAAAAUUGCUCAAUCCUCACCACUCCCUCAGCUCUUAAAGCUGCAGGUGUCACCAGUGGUUGUAGGGUACACUGCACCCACACCAAGGCUGCUGUGGACCCCAGCUAGGAGUCAACCACGAGAGUCCCAGACCCAGGCUAGCCUCUGAAAUUGACCAUUUCAAAAAUACUUCAGAAUGGGAACAAUGGUUCAGCUCCUACCCUGCCUCCCGAUGUCCUCCCCAAGUGCGUGGAUGCACACUGGAGCUAGUACCCUGUCACAUAAAUUAGUCUGGAGAGCAACUUUGUUCCAGGGCAACUCCAAUUCCUGGACACCCAUCAAUAUAGCAAACUGCUCCCCAUAGGGGUUCUGCCUUAUCUCCAUCCUUCUUGAGACUAGGCCAGCUCAUCCCUUGGAUCCCAUCAGGUUGUAAUAGGUCCACCCACAGAGGAAAACUGUCAUUCUUCUCAGAGAUGGCCCAAGCUAGUGACAGCCUACGGGCAAGAAAGAGGUCAGAGGACAAAAGAAUGAUUGUGGGGAAACCUUAAAUACUGGUCUACAGGGACUUCACCACAAAAGGGGCCUAGGAGGGAGCUGCCCCAGAGGAACAAGGAGUUUAGACCAUAAUAGGUCUUAAAGGAGAAAAUGUGGGAGGAAUCAUGGGGGAACUGAAAAAACCUUCAUGGGAAGAAGCCAUGACCUUGUGAUGGGCUGGUCUGGCAUAGGGACAAGAGACCCUCAAUGACCCUACAAUUCUACACUGGAAUAACUGCACCAGUUGGCAGAGUUAACGCCCCAAGCCCUUGGGCCCCAGCACAGGACACAGGUAAACAAGACAAAGCCAUCCAGCUGGAUCCUGAUGAUCCCCUUCUAGAAAACGCUGGCUUUAGUAAAUGCCAACCAUGAGCUCCUGAACCCAGGUCAGGACUGUGGGGUUUGCUUACCUGCAAGCUGGGUUACUUAUACUGGAGUAAGAAUGAAUAACCAACACAAAAGGGGAAUGUUUAACUGGGCCACCUAGGUGUUCAGGUCACAGGAAAAGACCAAUGUACAGAAAAUUAAAGCCAGGCAGUGGUGGCACACACCUUUAAUCCCAGCAUCGGGAGGCAGAGGCAACUCGAGACCAGGAUGACCUCAAACUUUCUGUAGUCAUCCUGGUUUACAGGGAGAGUUCCAGGACAGCCAGGGUGAUACAGAGAGACCCUGUCUCGGGGGAAAAAAAUUAAAAGGGCUGUACCAGACUAGUUAAAAGAGCAGUAGAUGCUAAUGGGCCACAUUUCACCUGCUUCAGCAGACAGCUGCAAACUGGUAUUCUUGGGCCCCAAGGUAGAUGUGCUCCCAGGAAGUGAGGUCCAACAAUACUUACAUCCCUUAGAGUCAAGAAAUAAUAAUUUCUUCCAAAAAGAUUUUCAAAUGAGGGAAAAAAAAUCAUCUUUCGUUAUUCAUGAAGCUUUUAGAUCAGGAUUGAUGGAGGCGAUGUGGAAAUAAAAAGAGAGCAGACAGGCAUUUCUAGAAGCAGAAUUGUUCUUUAAUCAGAACAAAUGAAGGCCGCAGUCUCUCUGCAGAAAUGAAACUGUGCACUAUGGCAUGGAGGGACUUGGGGCUUCAUAGGAUGGAAAAGGGGGAACUGUGGGGAUGGAAGAGUCCAUUUGCAGGUCAGUUCCCCUACAGUCUGGAGAUGGUAGAUGCCAGUGGGUUUGGUACAUGGAGGUCCUUAUCAGAGACUUGCAACAUGUCAUCAGUCAUCUUUCCUGUCUGAGUUCCUCAGCCCCCCGGAGGCUUUUGUGCAAGUAACCCUCCAGCCACAAUCCACCAUCUCUGCUACUCUUCCUUUCUCAUCUAGGUCCAGGUUUCCAUCUGAUGAUGUGGACCCACUGGUGGGAUUGGGAUGGCUAGAACUGCUAGAGAUGGGCCAGGUGCCUGUCACUUUCUCUGCACUCGCUUCCUGUGGCUAGCCCGGCUUCCUCACAGCAUGGCCUUGUGCGAACAGUCAAGUUGUCAGCUAGAAGACCCUAGGUGUUUUCUUUUUUUUAAUUGUCUAGCUCUGGAAGCAGGCAACUUCACCUGGUACAUGUUAUAAGUGGAAACGGGAGCUGCAGAGACAGUCCAGCAAGAGCCACACAGAGGUCCGUGCAUCAGGAGUAUGGUUUGUGGUUUACGUGGAAGAGGUGCAUCUUUUAAGAUAAGACACAACAUUCUCCAGGGGCAAUAAGGACUGUAAGGACUCUCAGGGAAGACAUUUCAUGGGCAGGAUGAUGAACUACAAAUAAGGUUUUGAAGAUGGAACCCGAGCCACCCCUAAUGGAAGAAGAAGGCAUUCCAGCGAAAUGAACACACCUUCUUGGUACCAUCUAGAGGUGCAGGAACGGGCUUGGUUUCCUUGAUGAUUAAAGAAUUUGAAGGCAAGAAAAGCUGGCGAGUCGAGCAAAACUGAAGUUUAUUCAAAGGGAAUGCUUUUAUUAGUGAUUAAAGGAAAAAACCCAAGGACGGACAAGCUGUAAAUCUCAGCCGCUGCCUGAUGGUGAAGAACUGAAAGGCGGGAAAAGCUAUGCUGAUUUAGUUAAAUCAGCAUGGAGGUCGGUGGGCUGUAUGACUGACAAGCAGCAGGGCAGGAAAGGAAGCUUCAUAAAAAAGGGAAGAGAGCUCUAAGUACCCCCCAAAAAAGCCCAUGUCAGCCCUGGCCAUCACCAGAGAGAAAGACACAAACAGGAAGAAAUAAAGCAGGCUGGAGAGGUGGCUCAGUGGUCGACAUCAAGUCCUGCUCUUCCAGAGGACUGGAGUUUGGGCACUAACACCCUCAAAGGGUAACUAACAACAACCCCAGCUCUGGGUCUAGGAGGACAUCGCACACCUCUGGCCUCCACAUGUGAACGUCUCUCCCUCCCAUAUACACAUAAUUAAAAACAAAAUUUAGGACCUGGAGAGAUGGAUCAUGGGUUAAGAGCACUGGCUGCUCUUCUGGAUAACAUGGGUUUAAUUCCUAGCACUCACAGGAUGGCUCAUAAUUACUUAUCCCUCCAAUCCCAGGGACCUAACAUCCUCUUCUGGCUUCCUCAGGCAUGCAAAAGGUACAUAGACAUACAGGCAGACAAAAUACCCAUUCAGAUUUUUUUUUUAAGAAGAAGAAGAAAGGAGACUCUGCCAGCUGCCAUGAGUACCAACAUGUAAGAUACUGGUCUGGGAGGGUCUCCAUGUGGUGAAGACAGGCUGAAUGAUGCCGGGAGAGACCAAUCCAGCUGAUUCAAAGCCAGGCACCAUUCAAGGGGAUUUUUGCAUUCAAGUUGGCAGGAACAUCAUUCAUGGCAGUGAUCCAGUGCAAAGUGCACAGAAGGAGAUCAGUCUGUGGUUUAAGCCUGAAGAACUGGUUGACUAUAAGUCUUGUGCUCACACCUGGAUGUAUGAGUAGAAGUGGAUCACUGGGUCCUUUCCAGCUACUGAUGGAUCCCUGGACAUAGCUCUUUAUUCCACAGAAUGAAUGGAUCAUCUUUUCUAAAACAAUAAAGACUUUGGAACUGGAA
This is a non-coding RNA of Peromyscus maniculatus bairdii (prairie deer mouse), 5909 nucleotides long. The record is from RefSeq and is a predicted model, not a curated record. NCBI's taxonomy places the organism in Eukaryota, Metazoa, Chordata, Mammalia, Rodentia, Cricetidae.